RNAcentral lists this long non-coding RNA (22381 nucleotides) under Medicago truncatula (barrel medic). RNAcentral's name for it is "long non-coding RNA (MTRU_LNC002081)". Lineage: Eukaryota; Viridiplantae; Streptophyta; Magnoliopsida; Fabales; Fabaceae. The record is from RNAcentral.
UUAUCUACCUGCAAAAAACCCAAAAGGAACUUUUAAUUAAUUAGUUCCCGAAGUUACAAUGAGUAUAGUACUCAGCAUCUCUCCAUUGGACAGGCACAUAAAUAUUUGGACAGGUAUACACAUAUAUAUAUAUAUAUGGUCAAAUGCAUCUAAAGGUCCUUUAAGUUUUUCGUUUUUUUCAAAGUGGUUCUUUAUGUUUCAAAAGUCCCAAACAAGUCCUUUUAGUUUUUGAAUCAUUUCAAACAAGUCAUAUUCUAGAUAGCAUAGUUGAUAAUUGCUUAUUUGAACUCAUCUUUGGUACAAAAUCUGGUUCAUAGCACCCACUUAAAAUUAGUCAUCUUUUUAGGCAUGGCAAAUGGUGGAUAAUGUUCUUUGUUGCUAUCAUCUGAAUCAUCACCACCAUUCUCUAAAAGGACUUGUUUGAAACGAUUCAAAAACUAAAAGGACUUGUUUGAGACUUUUGAAACUUAAAGGGCUUGUUUGGGACUUUUGAAACUUAAAUGACCACUUUGGGAAAAACGAAAAACUUAAAGGACUUUUAGAUGCAUUUGACCAAAAAUAAACUAAUUUUUGAAAAAUUAACACACCUGGAAAUGCAAAUUAUAGAAGACUCUCCCUCCAAAGGUCUGAGAUGAAGAAAGAUUAAGCAGCAAAAGGCCAUCAUUUUCCAAACACAUCAAGAUCUCAGAAAGUGGAAUCUUGUGGACAGUGUAACAUGAAAUCUGAAUGGUAAUUUCACUAUCAUUGAGCCAACUUGUUGAAACUACAAAACCAGAGUUGUAACUAUGCUUCUUCCUUUGAGAUUCUUUGCUUAGAAUAAACUCUUCUACUUGUGGAGAAAGUCCCAAUAAGAUCUCAUCCUUUCUCUUAAUUAGUCCCUCUACUUGAUUCUGUAAUUCAGGUAUGUAUUUCAGGACUCUAGAAAUUGUUCCCGGAAUGCUUAAUUUCUUCUACAACAUAUAGGUAUACAUCAACAAAUAUAUUAAUACAAGUUGCGAUUGCAAAGUUAGGUUUUAAUUGAAAAAAAAAAAUCAAAAAAUGAACAAAAGCAAAGUAGACAAACAAAAUACGACAGAAAGGAAUUAAUUAAGUACCAUUUGAUCAGAAACAGGAAGGAGUGAUCGAAGUGAUGAAUACAAAUUAUUGAUCUUCUUGCGGCGAUCGCGUUCACUGGCAUUAUGAACAAGCUUCUUGACCAUGCUAAGGUCACUGCUUGUGGAUUGUGAGGGAUCUGUUGAAUUAAUUUCUGCCUCAACUUGAUCAUGAAAAUUAAAUAAUUGAUUCUGAUGCUGGUUAUGACUUAAAGACUCUUCAAAGGGCCAUCCAAUUGUUGAAAACAUAGGAGGAGAUAUCGCUAACAUAAUGUUGAUGUAGCAGUUGAAAACAGUUGAUUAUGAAGUUUUCUAUACAACAUUAAUUAUAUAUAUAACCUAACUAUCAUGGUAUGCACCCUCUACGCAAGCAUUCUACUAUAUUUUAUUGUUAGGAAAUAAAAAAGAUAAAUAUAUUUUUGGUCCCAACAAAUAUAGUAUUUCACUUUUUUCAAUGUUUAUAAAAUUGAUUUCCUAAUUUUACGGACAUUUAAUUUAUCAAUUGUCACAAAAUAACUCAUCAACUGACAUAAAAUCCACACAACAGUUAAAUCAUUUGUGUUAAUCGAAAGACAAAUAAAUUUGAAUAUUUUAAAAAUAAAUUAGUUCAUCAAAAUUGAUAUCGAAUAUAAGAGUUUAAAAAUUAUACUUUAAGAUCACAAGUCAUCAUUACCAUAUCAAAUCAAGUGGGUGUGUAGGAAAAAAUAUUAUUAAAGGACAUAGUCCUUUUCUUCAUGUAGAUAAUCUAAGACAUUAUUAUAACCGGGAUGACUAUGAUAAGCCAUUAAAUUAUUGUGUCACUUAAGAAUUAGUUAAAAUGCGCAUGCAAGAGUGUGUCUGCAAUGUGGCAUCUAUGUUCUUGUGUGUAUCAAAAGGAAGAUGACACGGACAAAAAACGUGACAUGGAUAAAGAAGUGAAUAAAAAACGAAAUUACACGUUCCAUAAUUAUUUAUUAAUUUGUUGAUGGGUUGUUUGUCGAACCCCAGACAGCACCAAAAAAAUAUUGAUAGGUUUAGCUUAAUCGAUGAACUGGAACUCGAAAUCACACAACGCAUUCUACACACCGAAAUUCACAGUUGAUGCUUCAUGUGGUUUUUUCUCCAUUCUCCCUUUUUCGAAUUGUGUUGACGAGUCCUUCUCCUUUUUCUACUCCUUCUGUCCCUUCGGAAUUAAGAGUGUUCUUAAGACCAUAUAGUCUUUUUUCGGUAUAUUGUUCAUUCGGAAUCAAGAAUGGUCUUAAGAGCAUAGUCCCUUCAAUUAUUUAUGUCUCUUUAGAAUAAAUAAUAAUUUAAGAUCAUAGUACCUUUUCGGUAUAAUAAGAAUGAUUUUAAACAUAUAUAUUAUUCUUCUAUUCAUGGAGAAGUUAAAUGUUAGAAUGGUCGUAGCACCAUAUUUGAGUGGUUGAAAUACCAUAUUGAUAUUUGAAGAAGUUAAAAAUUAGAAUGGUGGUAACACCAGAUUUGAGUGGUCUCAAUACCAUAAUAGAGUGGCUACAGUACCAUAUUUGUUUCAGUAUUAAAAGAGUGGUCUUAGUACCAUAUUGAAGGUGUAAUUCUCGAACGGUUUUCUACAGUGCAGUAGUUAACCGCAGCUGGACUUGUUUUAUUCUGGAGGCGGCGUGGUUGAUAGUCUGCCUUGCACAAUUUUAGGCAGUGCCACGAAAUGUCUUAAAAGAGCGACCUGAUCGUGACUCAACCUAGUAACAACUUCGCUAGAAAAUAGAAUUUAGAAAACCAACAUACAACAGUUUGGAAAUCCAAAAACAAUAAAAGUGGUAGAUUAUUUUCGCUCCACUGUGUGCUUAGUUUGUAUUUUAAAGACUCUCAUAUUGAGUUUAAAAAUCAAAAUGUAUCAACCACGUUAUUAUGAAUGAAUAGCCAUAAGCAGUAUCGAAAAUAAGCGGUCUUUUGUCAAGAAAAAAAUAUAAAUACAUAAAUCACAUAACUUGACUUAGAAACUGUAUGCAUUCGAAAAAUUGAGAAAUCGAUUUAUCUGUCUGGAAAAUAUUGAUUAAUUGGAAAAAGUAUAAGAAUGGGUAAUUAUACGAACGGUAAAAAUAUCAAUAAUUGAAAUUAGACAAUCUCUAUGAGUUUAGGUCUGGGGUUCGAACCCCAGACACCACCAAAAAAAUAUUGAUAAGUUUAGCUUAAUCGAUGAACUAGAACUCGAAUUUCUAAAGCUAUAUAGUUGACUUAAUGAUGCUUUUCUUGAAGAUAUUUUAUCUAAAAAAAUAAAAAUUUCAUCAUUUAUUAAAUCCGUCAAAACUCGAUCCAACAAACUCUGAUGUUAAGUCGGUUUUUUUUUUUUUUUAAGGAGAUGUCAAGGCUUGACAUCUACCUUCAACAAGAUGUCCAAGCCUUUGUUGAAGGCAUGUUUUUAUGACAAAGAACCAAGACCCAUAUUUAACACCUACAAAUAGUUAUGAAAAAAAAGAAGAAGAAGAGAAUACUAUAUAAUUGCUUGAGACAUACACAGUACACUUGGCACACACAUGUAAGGAGAGUUGACAAUAUUGCUAAGGAGAAUAGAAAAUGCAAUAUACCUCAAACAUACUACACGAGCCAAUGCAUGGCAUACACGAGAAUAUACGAAACAUGAUGCAUGACUUAUAGUAGCAUAUGUUGAAUGUGACAGUAUGAUGAUCAUAAUAAAAAUUAUAUUUAAAUUUGUGGUUAAGAAAAUACUAUUUUUUCCUUGAAAUAUAUAUAUAUAUAUAUAUAUAUAUAUAUAUAUAUAUAUAUAUAUAUAUAUAUAUAUAUAUAUAUAUAUUUGAAGUUCAAUAAAUAGUAUAGUAAAUGAGAGAGGAUUUGAGCAUUCAACGAAUGAUGACUUGUGUUGAUCAAAUACAAUUUAGGAAUAUAUAUGUACAAAGUCAUUGUCAAUAGUCAAUACAUGGUUAGUUGUAACAGAAAAAUCAAAUUAAUAGACUAUAACUAACUAACUCUAACUAACCAAUCAUUACAAAAGUUUAUUAAUGUUGACAUACUUUUCACCCCCUCUCUAAGGAAAGAGUUGGUGUUUUUGGCUUCCAACUUGGAAAUAAACUAAUGAUUUAAGUUUGUUUGCGAGUUUGAAGGAAAGGGAGGGGAGGGGUUUGGAAAAAAAAAAACGAGUAAGUAGAAGAAUAGAUGACAUUGUCUUUUAACCCCCUCUCUAGGAAAAGAGUUGGUGUUUUUGGUUCUAACUUGAAAAUAAACUAGUGAUUCAAGUUUGUUUGCGAGUUUGGAGGGAAGGGAGGGGAGAGAUUUCAAAAGAAAAAAAAAAAACGAGUAAGCAAAAGAAUAUAUGACAUUGUGAGGGGAAGACUUUGGGGGAUAAUUUUUCUUUAUAAUUCAAAAUCCUUCUCCUUUGAGGAAACUUCAAAAUUGUAUUGUAGUAGUGAUUUUGGCUGUUUUGGAGGGUUUACAUGAAUUCUUCAAAUCUAUAGUAUGUAGUUAUAAUAUUCUUAAAAUUAAAAAUAUAUUAAGGGUCUUGCUAUCCAGUGUCCUAAGGACAAUGGUUAAGGAAUCUAUAAGUAAAACUUUUGUCUUGGAAAUAUAAACUAUUGCAAUUGACCAAGUAAUAAUUACACUGUUUUUUAUUAAAAACUUGUUAUUGUUGAAUUAUGGUGUGAUGCUAAAAACUUUGAUCUAAGAAUUAACAUCCAUCCACACAAGUUAAUGUUACCUAAGUUGGACGCUAACAUUAAAUUAUAUUUGAUCCAAGACGGUGACACUAAAUCAGGGUCAAUUAAUUGUUAAAAUUGGUAUUUUUAUUUAUUUUUGUAUUAUUUACCAGUAAAAUUUAGUAAUAAUCAAAUAUAUGUUCAAGAAGAACAAUGAGAGGUAAGAGAUAAACAACAAAACAACUGACAAUGUAUAUAGGCAAAUUACCCAAAAGAAAACUCAUAAAAAUACCAAUAUAGACUCUACCCAACGGAGGGCCACAUCACCAACACCAAUACAAAUUCCACCUAACUGCGAGCCACCAUCAACACCAAUAAAAAAAAUAACCACCGAAAUCAAAGUCAACACCUAAAUCAAAACCAAACCCCUAAAUAAUCGUCGAAACCAAACUUCAGCGAAAAUCACAAAGGAUAUUGUGAAUGGCCACAUGCACAAAUUCCAAACCGUUGUCAUCCGGUACUCACAAAAAUUUCUAUAAAAAAACCAUCAAACCAAUCAAAACCCUGCGAGCAGAUACCCAUCUUCUCAUCACUAUAGCUAAGUCCAAUUAAACACCCGAAAAUGUCUUAUUCCACCACUCAUUUAGAUUCCACUACCAAAAAUUUGAGUCUAGAAAACAGACUCUGAUCUCGAAUCAAAAGUGAUCGGUCCACCAUACGCGAAAUCACUAAAACACUCCUUAGUUUCUGGUCCAUCAGAGAAGACACCAUAAUCAACCGAAAAAACAUGAAACUAGACACUAAUUCUCGAUCUCGAAGUAAAAGCGAUCAACUCAACAAAAUCCAAGAAAACAAAUUCCUAAAGGAAGUCAACAAUUAGAGCAGUAGCGUAAACAGAACAAACUCAAAAAGAAGAGUGUUGUGAAUCUUACAACUAGUCAUAGGCUAUUAUAGGAAUCUCCAUGUGGGUAGAUGUGGGAUCAUUGUAUAUAUUGUGAAUCAUUUCAUGUAAACUUUCUACUUAUAAUAGUUGCAUCUAAUGAAGUUUGGCUGUUGCACAUACCACUUUAGUGAAAUCAUUUGGUUGAGAAAAUUAUUAAAAUGAUCACAGGUCGAUUAUUCACCCACACUUCUAUAUCGUGAAAAUCAAAAUGCUCUUCAUCUCCAAGCAAAUCUCAUUUUUCAUGAAGAACCAAACACAAUGAUAUGGAUUGUUAAAUACGCUAACACUCGCAAUUAAACAACCACGAGCUAAGAUUUUCACAAAACUCAGUUAAGUACUAAGCCCUUCAUGCACAUAAUAUUCAAGUUAUGUAAUCACAAUCGCCAUACUCCAACUUGAGAGGGACUAAUAGUGACACUACUUGAAAAAGCAAAAUUAGGGAUGGAAAUUAGUGACGAAAAAAUAAAAUCCCUCCUAAAUUUUUUGGUCGCAAAAUUUAGUGACAAUUAGAGAUUGAUGUCACGUUUUCCCUCUUUAAAUUUCCCUCACUAAUUUUUGCUUUUUUAAUAAUGCGAAUUGGCCAUAAAAGGAUUUCUUAUGCAAAAAAAUUCAGUUUUCAUUUAAAUUUCACUUAGAUAUUAAGAUGGACAUAAGUUUGAUAUAAUAAUAGAUAGUUAUCACUCAUCUUUUAGUUUUCUUAUCUCUUUGCAAAUUGUGGACAUAUGGUUAAUUACUCAUCUUUUAGUGUAUAUGAGAAGGACAAUUUAUCUUUGGCAAUUGAACUCAGGCGGCUUCUAGCGUGGGAGACUAAAUCAGGUCUCUCACCGUGAGUGACCGUGUUUAAACCGUUGGAUGUACCUCAAAAUCAACAUGCGGUCCAGAUUGCUUACCAAGGACCUGUUGCUACAGUACCUAGUAGGUGAAUUGCAAAUUGUACUUUUGCAUGUGAUUUUACCCAUAACUAAAAUUUGAGAAUUACACAACUUGCCCUAAUGGAUAGAAUAUUUAUAAAUACCUCCGGUCUUAAAUAUUUAAAGUAAACGUGAUAUAACUCUUUUUAUUAUUAUUUAUAACCUUUAUUUUACAGAUAAAUUUAUUUAACAACUUAAAAAAAAAUCAGACUUAACAAAAUAUAACGUGAGACAUGAUCAAUGGUCAUGGUAAUCUUUUCACACACAAUUUCUUGACCACUCUUUUCUUUCUUCUUUAUCUUCUCUCCUUUUUCUGGUUUCCUUCCCAUUACCAUCCAUCCUUACUAUCAACAUGUCCAGCAUCAUAAGUUCUUUACACCCAACACCAGUGUUCAUGGCACCAUUAAAAAAUAUUUUGCUGAUAUCUAGUAUUCAUUGAAGAACAACAACAACUUAAAAAAUAUUUUUCUGAUAUCUAGUAUUCAUUGAACAACAACAAAAACGGCAAUAAAUCAAUUUUUUAUUUCCAGAACCAUUUUUAAAUCAAGAGGGUUUUUAUCCAUAACUGAAGUUGAGUUUUGUUGAAACUAAUCAAAAUUAUUUCAAUUUUGAGUGUUUAAAGAUGCAAAAAAUUGCUUGAAAUCACAAAGAAAUGGUAUUUGGUUCGUGAGUCUAGGUUAAAAUUGAGUUUUUGGUGUUAAAAUGGCUUAAAGUUAUGGUUUUCUCUUCCGGGUCAUAAAACGGGUCGUUUCGACCCGUCUGGAGGUUGAAGAUGCAGGUAAAAAAAAUUAAUAAAAAGACAUCGAUGCAACAAAAGUAUCGAACAGACAACCUUGAUCAUCAAAGUAUCCAAUUUACACCAACUGUGCCAAGCAUUUUUAUUAAUACCAAUUGAUUUCAAAUCAAUUCAUAUUUAAUCCGUAAACGUAAUGUAAAUUGAGACCCUGCAUUUAUGGUCCCUGCAUAUUUAGCAAACUCAUGUGUAUCAUUCAAAAUUUAAAAUUAUUUUUUGAACUCUUAUUUAAUACAUUAUAAAAUUAUCUCCUGCAAUAGUUUAAUUUUUUUAAAAAAGGGAUGAAUUUUAUAUGAAUUUUAAAUUUUGAGCGCUUGAAAAUUCACAUUUAUUUCAUAUCUUGUAAAAAUAAUCUAAUUUUAAGCGCUUUGUAAAUUUUUUUCUUUUUGGCAUAAGUCAAUCUGACAAACUUUCACUUUAGAAACCUAGUUAAAAAUGACAUUCCUCCUCCGACCAAGACGGACUUAAUUAACUAACGGUUAGUUUGAUAUGAUCUAAAUGAAUUAAGAACGAAGUAAGAAUUAAAAUUUCGGCAAUCUAAAUAUUUCAUAUAAGUUAAUCCGACAAACUAUUCCUUCAGAAAAGUAGUCAACUUGGUCGAAAUCUUUUAUAUAAAUUUUUAAUAUCACACACACCCUUAGGUCACUAUUAUAAGCAAAAAUUUACAUUUUAAAUUCAUUUAAUUUAAUAAAUAAUGUAUACGGUCUUUAUUAAAUACCACAUACAACAAUUAUUAAAUGAACAUAAAAUAUGAAUUAUUGUUUAUAAUAGUUACCGGAUGGUAUAUAUAACUGCGAGCAUUUGAUGUAAUAUAUUGCAUUAAUCAUAGGACUCUUUUAUUGCUUAAUUAAUAUAUUGAAUUAAUCAUAUCAAUUUUUUAUUGCUUAACCUUUUACAGUUAAUAAUAAUCAAAUUAUGUAAGUAUACAAUAGAAUUAGUGGUACAGUUGGUUUGAUUAGUGUCUGUUGAUGAAAAAAAUUGUCGUCGGUUCGAUACCCAUCACCUGCAUUGUAUGAGUUUUUUUUUUUUAUUUGUUUUUACUACUGCAUCUUCAACCUCUAGAAGGGUCAAAACAACCCAGUCGAAAAUCCUCGCGACCCGGAAUAGAAAAGCUAUAACUUUAUGCCAUUUUAGAAAACUCAAUUUUAAUCUAGAAUCAUGAAGCAAAUAACAAUUCCUUGUGAUUUCAAGCAAUUUUCUGCAUCUUUAAACACUCAAAACUGAAAUAUUUUUGUUUUCCAACAAAAUAUCCAACCUCAGUCAUGGGAAAUAAAGCUCUUUUAAUUUAUAAAUGGUUAUUUAAAUAAAAAAAAUUGACUUGUUGCGGUGGUUGUUGUUGUUUAAUGAAUAUUGAUGAUACCGAUGAUGGUGGUGGUAGUAACUUGUGGGAUGGUGAUGCUGGUCAUGUAGUAACAAGGAUGAAUAUCAGAAAAAAUAGUUUUUACCAGUGCCAUGAGCACUAUUGUUGUGAUGAUGGUGCUCGAAAGAGAUGCAGGGAAAUCAGAACAAGGAGAGAAUAAAGAAGAAGGAAAAUAAUAAUUAAAGGUAGUAACUUAUUUGGUUUUUUAAAUAAUAAAAAAAAAGGGGGGACAUGCCAAUUUCGUAAAUAAAAAAACUCGAGUGAAAUAUUUAUAAUUAACUUAGAUGGGUCAAAAGUAUAAAUAGCAAAAAUAAUAUAAAACUAUUAAAACUAGUGGUGACCUGCAAUUGCAGGUUUUUUCUCCCCUCCCACCGUGAGAGACCUGAUUUGGUCUCCCACGCUAGCCUGAGCCUUGAACUCAUGAUAAGAUUUAUAUACACCACAAUUUGAUUUCAAUUAAUGUACAUUAGUUAUGACAUACACUGAAGGGAAUGCAGUGUCAAUUUGGCCAACUACGCAUAUAACAAUGCACACAAAAAUUUUCAUACAUCAUAAAAUUGAAAUAUGUUAAUUAUAUUGAAACAACCAUUCCACGCAUAUCCAUUUAAUUUCCUACACCGUAUCUCAUAUAUUCCUACUUUCUCUUUGUAAAUAAAAUAAAAGAGAGAUGUCUAAUUAAUACAUUUAGGUUUCCACAUACCAUAGAGUCAUAUAUAACUCCUAAGAACUGUCACUACCGUCCUAUGAAAAAUGCUAUAUAAUGUGAUGAUGCCAUAUCAAAGUAAUGCAACAUUUUUAUUGUUUUAAAAACUCUCCUUCCUUCUCCAUUAUUGAUAAGAGCUUCUCAUUUAGAAUAUGAGAUUCUAAUAUCUGUGUUUUAUCCACCUGCAGAAAACCCAAAAAGAGCUUUUAAUUAAAUAAAAUUAAUUGUUGCACCCCUUUUAUGAGUCUAUACAUCGUGAGAAAAAAUUAGCUUUUAAAUUAUUUUUUUAUUUCUUCUCAAGUUAUUAAUUAUUUGUAUAAUAAAAUAUAGUUUUCAUAAUUUCUUAUAUUUUGAGUUCUUAACAUAAUAUUCUGAAAAUAAUUUAAUGAUCAGCAAAGUUUUAAAUAUGCAUCUAAGUGUAUUUCUAAAUUUAACAUUUUUUGAAAAUAAUUUUAUAAUGAAUAUAAUAAACUAACAUCAUAAUUAUAUAUGAUGCUUCAAAAAACCAAAUCAUGAUUAUAUAUGAGCAAAAUAGUCUUUUUUUUUUUUUUUUUUUUGAGGGAGAUGAGCAAAAUAGUUAUUAAGCUUAUUUUAUAAUUUAAAAAAAUAAUAGAAAAAUGUCGAAAUAAAUAAUCAAGCCUAGUGAAAUUAACACACCUGGAAAUGCAAAUUAUAGAAGACCCUCCCUCCAAAGGUCUUUGAUGAAGAAACAUUAAGCAGCAAAAGGCCAUCAUUUUCCAAACAAAUCAAGAUCUCAGAAAGUGGAAUCUUUUGGACAGUGUAACAUGAAAUCUGAAUGGUAAUUUCACUAUCAUUGAGCCUACUAAUUGAAACUACAAAACCAGAGUUGUAACUAUGCUUCUUCCUUUGAGAUUCUUUGCUUAGAAUAAACUCUUCUACUUGUGGAGAAAGUCUCAAUAAGAUCUCAUCCUUUCUCUUAAUUAGUCCCUCUACUUGAUUCUGUAAUUCAGGUAUGUAUUUUAGGACUCUUGAAAUUGUUGCUGGAAUGCUCAAUUUCUUCUGAAACAUUUAUGUAUAAAUUAAUACUAACACAGUAUAUUGUGAUAUCCAAAAAGUUCAUCACAACUAGGCAAUUAAAAAGUAAAAAAUUAACAAAAGCUUAGAGAAGGGACUGAUUACUUACCAUUUGAUCAAAAACAGGAAGAAGUGAACGAAGUGAGGAAUACAAAUUAUUGAUCUUCUUGCGGCGAUCGCGUUCGCUAGCAUUAUGAACAAGCUUCUUGACCAUGCUAAGGUCACUGCUUGUGGAUUGUGAGGGAUCUGUUGAAUUAAUUUCUGCCUCAACUUGAUCAUGAAAAUUAAAUAAUUGAUCAACAGUGUCUUUGUAGAAUGAAUUCUGAUGCUGGUUAUGGCUUAAAGGCUCCUCAAAGGGCCAUCCAAUUGUUGAAAACAUAGGAGGAGAUAUCGCUAACAUAAUGUUGAUGGAGUUGUUGAAAAUAAUUGAUUAUCAAGUUAAGUUUUCUGUACAAAAAUAAGUGUGUAUGUGUGUCUAUAUAUAUAUGACCAUCAAUACAUUGCAUCCUCUAUGUAAGCAUCCUAUAUUUUAAUGUUUGAAAAAUUAAAAGUUUAACAUAUUUGUGUCCCUACCAAAUAGUCUUCAAUUAUUUUCAAUGUAUAACCAUCAUCUCUAUGUAAUCAUCUUGUAUUUUAAUGUUUGAAAUAUUAAAAUUACAAUAUAUCUGUAACCAGAUAAAAUAGUCUUUAAUUUCUCCUCGAGAACUUAACUUAGUUGAAAAAACUUAAUUUUAGGGCAUUAAAUUAUAUAUACAGGGUCAAAAUUCGAACCCUACACACACCACUUAUUUUUUCCAUUAGUUAUAAAAUUGCUAGUCUUUAAUCUACUCAAGUAUACCCAUAUCUCUAGUGAUCUGAGUUCCCGCCAUCUAAUCUACUCUUCUUACUACCAAAAUUGCAUGUCUUCUCUCUGCAUGCCAAAAUCAACUAAGUCUAGUUUCUACCAUCUUUUCUACAAUAAGUCCUACCCCAACCCUCUCUUUAAUGUCGUCAUUUUUAGUUCUAUCCUGUCUAGUCUUUCCACACAUCCAACGCAACAUCAUCAUUUAUGUUACGCUUACUUUAUGUUUGUUCUGGUUCUUUACCGCCCAACACUAUAUCUCAUACAACACUGUAGGUCUUGCUGUUGUUUGAUAAAAUUCUCCAUUCAACUUAACUUGUACUUUCGCAUCACAUAAAACACCUGAGACACUCCUCCAUUUCAUCCAACUUAUUCGCAGGUCUACAUCUCCUUUUAAACUAUGUAAUUUUUGGUAUGAUAUAAUUUUCAGCUUUUACAUCUAAGUUAUGAACGUAAUGAAUCAAAGUUCGAAUCCUUCCACAACAUAUUGUUUGACGACAUCUCGUAUAGGAUUUCUCUAAUAGCGGAAAAUGAUGAGAAAUAAAAUAAAGUCUAAAUUUCAUUUUUGGUCCCUUAAUUAUUUAGGUAGUAUCGCUUUGGUCCCUUAAUUAAAAUUCGAUUUAUUUUGGUCCCUUAACUUCUCUCUAUUACACAUUUUGGUCCUUUCCGUUAGUUUUAAUUCAAAAACGUUAGAUUUUUUUUCAUCUUCUUCUCCUCUUUUUCAUCUUCAUAUCAUCUCCAUCAACCUUCAACAACAAGAAUCCCAAAAAAAUUCCAGAAGAAAAUGAAGAAAACCUAACGCUUUUGAAUUAAAACUAACGAAAAGAACCAAAUGUGUAACGAAAAGAAGUUAAGGGACCAAAAUAAAUCGAAUUUUAAUUAAGGGACCAAAGCGAUAUACUACUUAAAUAGUUAAGGGACCAAAAAUGCAAUUUAGCCUAAAAUAAAUAACAAGGAUCAACUUUGAAAACUUAGAUUAAGUGUGGGGACCAAACAUAAUAAAACAAUUAAUUUAUUAAAGUUUAGAUAAAGUAUUUUAUAAUAAAAAAGUGAUAGUGGAUCUUAAAUAAAAUUCUAAAGGACGUCUUUUUCUUCAUGGAAAGAUUCAGAUACAUUUUUAUAAGUAAAUACCAGGAUGAGUAUGCUAAGUGCGCAUGCAAGUGUAUGUUUGCAAUGUGGCAUCUAUGUUAUUGUAUUUGAUAGGGAGGGUGACAUGGAUAAAGAACUAGGAUGUAAACCGAAAUUACACGUUCAAUAUUUAUUAAUGUUGCAUAUACAUAGUCAAGUGUUGCAAUUUUCCACCCUUAUGAAAUACUUCUUCCGUUUUAAAAUGAAUGUCGUUUAAUAUUUUUACACACAUAUUAAUAAAUGCAUUAAUUAAAAGAAAGAAAUAUGUUAUUUUACCAAAUUAUUCUAAUCAACUAUUAGUUUGUUUUCCAUUAAAGAAAAAAGAAUAUUUUGGAAGUAGUGUAUAUAAUAUUAAUUGAAGGGUGCAACUGAAAAGAAAAAGUUAUUAUUGCAUUCGAAACUGAAAUGACAUUUAUUUUAAAACAAUAUUUUUUUUGCUAAAACGACAAUCAUUUUAAAACGGAGGGAGUAAAGUUUUUGUAGUGCAGUUUGGAUUAGUUUUGACUCAAAAAAGCAUUUGAUGAUUCCGAGUUAUAGCAUGUAUUUUAAUGUUUUGCAGAGUCUUUUUGUCUUUCAUUUUAGGAAUAUAUAGAGGAUUAAAGUGAGUUACGGAUAGUUUGGGAAAUAGCAUUUGAAUUUAGUUAACGUGUGUCUUGCAAUUUCCUAACCAAACAACUCCACAGGGUGUCGUAGUGUUUUGAGUAUAAGUCAGUGGGUUGAUCCAAUCAGAAAACGUCUCAUGGAAUUCGCGAACGCAUGAAGACUAAGCACGAUAUGAGAUAUUGAAGUCCAAACUACUUGGAAUUUUUUUCUCCCAAGCACAUAUCAAAGAUAAAAAUUACAAUGAUAACAAAACAUCAUGUGAUAUUUUAGGCUAUGUUUCUAGUGAUUUUCUUUGCAUUUGAAGGAAAAUAAGAGGUCAUUUAGAGGAUUUAUCAAUGGUUUGAGGAACAUUUUGUAUCGUUUUCAUUUGAGUAAUUGUAAUUUACUUUUAUCCUAAGUCAUACAGCUUCAUAGGUGUUUUGAGUCAUUUUAGUGAGAAAUCGUGUAAAUCAGCAAAACAAGACAUCACAUGAUGGAUCAAAGAUAUGAAAAGUGAAGAUGAAUGAUUCUAUGAAGGUUUUUUUAAGACAAUACAAGUUGGGGAAAAAUCAUCCAAAGUUCCAAGGCAUUUCAAGAAAGAAGACACUAAAAAAAUGAAUGAAAACUACAAAAUUCGCACUUGGGUUAUUGCCUCAUACGCCACUGCGCAUGGGCCAUGGCCCCCUGCGGUGGUAAAGCUACUUCUGACCGAGAAAAGUUGGAGUAACAUUAGAGCAAUAAAUGCGAAUUUGAUUCUCUUCAAAAUCAUUUAUAGUACGAAGGUGAACUUUCAAAAAAGAUUGUUGGUGAGCAUUGAUGUAGAGGAGUCUUGGUUGUUAGAAGCCUCCAUGGUUUUGAAAUAUAAAGAUGGUUAGCUAUUGCUUAGUUAUAUGGAUCUCCUUAUUGGUGGUAACUCUUGUUGUUUUCCUUUCUGUUAUCCUUUGUUGAGAAACAUACAUAAAAAACUUAUCUUGUUUGAAGAGUAAAAAGCUUUCUAUUGGAGGUCAUGUUUUGAUCAAAGUUUUCAUGUCGUAUCUUAUGGUUUUCCAGAGGUAUAAUUUCUUUUCUAUAAUCACUAUUUCAAUAUUUCACGGUGAGAAUGAGGAUAAUCGCAAAAUUAAUUGGAUCAGUUAGGAUAUGAUUUAUUCUGAGAAAGAGGUGGGAGGUUUAGGGAUUUGGAAAAUUGGAGAAUAUAAUUUGGCAUUGGUAGGAAAGUGGUGUUUGAGGUUACAUGUCUAUCAAGGGGGCUAUUGUACAAUGUUUUAGCAGCAAAAUACGGGGAAGAGGACCGACAGACUAAGGCGGGGGGUUCAAAGACGUAUGGUUGGUGGAAAGAUUUAUGUGGUAUAAAAGAUAGGGUAGGCGGGCAUUAGGUGGUUUUUGUUAGACAGAGUUGGGGCACCAUCUAGGUAAUGGUGAAAUAUCUUGUUUUUAGAACGAUCCUUGGCUAAAAUGGACGACUUUUACGCGAUAAAUUUUCAACACUUUUUAUACUAAUAUUUUGAGUAGCAGAGAUGAGGAGGUUAGGCUGGGAGUUGAGGGAAAUGGGUGGAGAUGGAGGUUGAUGCUUUUUUCUUGGGAGGAAUAACUAGUUGCAGAACAUUGCUCUUUGUUGGAUAAUAUUGUUUUUCCGGACUCAUUUGAAGAUACUUAGAGUUGGAAAGUUUGAUCCAACUAAAGGAUAUUAGAUAAAAGUAGUCGACAAACAGUUGACUUUUGUUGACCAACAAGCUUAUCCUACUUCAACAUACAUCAUUUAAACAAAUAUGUGCCUCUAAAUGUGUCUAUUUUUGCAUGAAGAUUGUUGAAUAAAAGAAUUCCAAUUAAGGAUAACUAUGAUCGACAUGAAAUUCUUCAACCUUGUUUGGUGUUAUGCUUAAGUGGAUAUGGGAAGGAAAAGUGGAUUAAUCACUUGUUUUUAGACUGUGAGUUUUUUUGGGUAUGUUUGGUCUUCCAUUCUGCAUUGUCUAAGAAUAUAUAUUAUUCUCAUCCCUUCAGAUAUUGGUAUGCUCGCAUCUCAUUUUGCUAGUACCUAUAUUAUUAUGAAGGAUAUUUGCACUUGUUUUCAAAUAAUUUGGAUAACAAAAAAUCAUCUAUUGCUCAAAUUGUUAAAAAAAUGAAGCUUCAUUCAUGGUGGUGGUUUAAGGCAUACAAGCUUAGUUUACUUUUCGAUUUUCAUGUCUAGUGGUGUAAUCUGUCUCUUUGUAUUGGUUACUCCACUAGGUAAUGCCGCAGGUUAACUUUUUCGUUUUUGCUUUUUUAUGUUAAUCUAUUACUUUUGUACUUGUUGCAAGUACAAUCGUUCUUACCCUGCCUGUUAUUGAUCCCAGAAGGGCGAUAUAUGUGUGUUCUUUUUGUAGAAGUAGUCGUUUGAUCCUUUGUCCAAUGUAUGUCCUUUCCUUUUAUCCUCUCCUUAGUCCUAAAACCGUCCUCAACCUCUAUGCCUUCAAGGGGGAUGUAACAUCCCCCACUUUGUGUAUGAAUUUCUUAGUAUCCCCCCCGUGCCAAGUACAUGACCUCUUGUGUUAAGUCGCCCAUGCCGAGCACUUGAGGAACAUGAUGUUAUCCUUAUCUUAUGUUUUAGGAGGGGUGAUAUGAUACUAUCCUAUCUCUAAGGGUCGACAACUACCCAAGCACGAGGCUAAAUAAGUUUACACAAAAUGAUUGAGAUAAUUUAUACUUUCUUAUGAAGAGAAUACGAUACUGUUUAUUUUCAGAUGGUCCAACUUUGUUCUGAUUUCUUGAUAGACAUAUCUUGUGCUUAGCUUUUUAAUAUAUUCUAUUUGGUUUCUUAAAAAUAAUUAUGUAUUUAGUCUUUUAAAAAAAAAAAAAACAUUCGCAAUACACAUGAGGGAAGACAUGUCAGUGUCAUAUAUGGCAUACACGAGCUCUUACUGUACUGGCAUCUAAUCUCCACGUUCCAAUUAAUUAAGGCUAGUUGAUGGAAGAAUCUGGUAUAUACUAUUGAUAUGCGUGACAUAAUGUACAUGUUAUAAUAGACAAAAAUUAUUAAAAUUUGUGGUUGUUUUUGUGUUGACCCUUCGGUUUUUAAAUAAGGGUGCCAUAUAUUUCAACUUAAUUUGGCAUUUUUGGUUAAAGAGAUAGAUAAUGCUAACGUCCCGUUCACUCUUUAUUUAACCAAGAAAAAUAAAGAACUCAACAUAGCAGUUUAUAACACUCGUUUUGAAGCCACGGUGGGAUGUUUAAGUUUCACUUUGAUGUUUAAUUACAGUCUUACUUCAUAAAAAAAAAUAAGUAUAGUCUGACAAAAAAAUGUGAAAUUUAAAAAUGAAUUCGAAUUCUUUCAAACGAUCUUUCUUUCGAUGAGCUUGUUAAUUAUUUAAACUUAAUUGUUGAUUAUUAAAAUAUUUGGUUUAGGACAAUACGAUUAUUUUCUUUGAAACUGUCACAUUAAAUAUUAUAAUGUAGCAGACAUUGAAAUUUCAACUAAUCAAGACUUGUGCUGACUAGCUAUCGAGAAUUUUAGAAAGUAAAACAAUAUUUAGGAACUUCUGAUUAAUUAAAAUGAAUUGGAUUAGGAUUCUAUGAGAUUUUAAAAGACUUUUUAAUUAUGAAAAUGUCUUGUGGUAUUCAAUCAAGACUUUUUGCAACUUAAAAAAAGUCUUGUGGUAUUCAAUCAAGACUCUUUGUCAUUUUAAAAAAGUCUUGAGGUAUUCAAUCAAGACUUUUCAUCAUUUAAAAAAAGUCUUGUGGUAUUCAAAAUCAUUCAAAUUUCGAAGGAUUGUUUAAUAAAUUGGAUUUUGUAGUGUAAUUUUAACAAGAAAAAGUCUUUCAUGAAAAGAUGAGAUUUCUAGAGAUUGUUUUUGUUUUAAAAGUUACUCUCUCUCUCCCUAUUCUCUCCUUUCUCUCUUCGUUUCUCUAUCUCUCCAUUCUCUCUCUCUCUCUCUCUCUCUCUCUCUCUCUCAUCUCUCAUCCCCCCCUCUCUCCCUCACUCUAUCUCAUAAAAAAAUAAAAAAUUGUAUUGAGAAUAUUAUGAUAGAGAGAAUGUCGUAAUCAAUGUUCCGCAGAUCGAGCGUUAACUCUCCUACCGAGUUUACAUUUUUAGGUACAAAAAUCGUGUUAACUCUGAGGUAAAAUCGGUUUCUGGUAAAAUUGGAAGGUUUAACGAGAUUGACUGAGUUAACACUCGGUAAACUCGUGUAACUCGACUGAUUUGUAAUGGCUGACACAAUAUAUUUUUUUUAAACAUUUGUAAGUACUGACGUAAUUUUAAAUAUGUAGAAUUGAAUUUUGUGGGAAUAACAUUUUUAACAAAUAAAAAAUGUGUAUUGAGAAUAAUGUGUUAAAAAAAUUUUUAGUCCCUUAAAAUCUUAUAAAAUCCAUAAAAUUCUUAAAAUUUGAAAAUCAAUACUAAAAGAAUUUUUUAUUGGUUUUAUUUUUCUUUAUUCAAACGCUGGAAUUUAUUUGUUCAUUAUUUUUAUCAUUCACGCUUGUAGUUUGUUCUUUUUCCCCUAAAAUUCAUUGAAUCCUUUGAAAUUUUAAAAUCACAUAAAAUCCUUAAAAGUCUGUAUGAUAAUUCCUUUAAAAUUUUGAGUGUAUAAAGUCUUUUAAAAUCCUAAUCCAAUACACCCCAAAGUAAUAUGUACAAAGUCAAUACAAGAUUAAUUGUAAUAGAGAUCAAAUUAUUAGACUAACUACGGUUAACUAAUUCUAAAUAAACUAUCAUUACAAUAGUAGAUUGUUGACAUACUCUAAUACCCCUCAAGGUAAAGAGUUAAUGUUUUGCAAAAUCAAAUGUUUUAACAAAACAUGAAUUAUGACAAUAUUUUCCAAAAAUCAAAACAUGAAAUGUAUAGAAUAUUAUGACAAUCUCACAAAAAAAAUCAGAAUUUUUUAACAAAACAUGAAUUAAAUAUGAGUUUUUAUGUUUUUGGUGUUAAAACAUUCAUAUUAAAUUCAUGUUUUGUGAAAAAAUUCUAUUUUUUUUUGAAUAUAUUGUCAUAAUUUUAGUUUAUUAGUUGGCAAAAAAUAUCUAUUGUUCACCAUAAAAAUACAAAGACUAGUACCAAAUAUCAAGUAUUGAUGUGAAAAUGUGUGUAAAAAUAGCAUUUCGGUUACGUUUAGGUUUCCACAUACAGUCAUUUAUAACACCUAACAAUGUUGAUUUGACAACAUUGAAGUCGAGUGUUUUUCGUCUAUCGAAAUGGUCACAAGAGAUCAGCACUUUUAAUGAACGACAAUCCCAAGCAUAUGUUUGAAUACGUAUUCUUGACCUCCCUCAAGAGAAUUGGAGGGUAAGAAUGCUACUGGAAAUAGCUUCAAGCGUGGAAACACCAAUGGAAGGAUUUCUUGUGGAUCUUGAUUUGUCCAAACGCAUCAAUGGCUAUAUAAUGAUAGAAUGUGAUGGCUAUGUGUUUUAUGUUGAAUUGUUGUACGAAAGGAUGCUUCACUAUUGUCCGAAAUUGUGGUAUGAUUGGUCACCCGUUGGGUCGGUGCAAGAAACUAUAGAAGAAUGGUUGUUUUUAAGAUAAUGUUACCUGGAAAAUUGAGUUUCAGAGAGGAAAUGGCAAAGAGCCUUCAGUCAAAGUGAUUAAUAAUGUUACCUGGAUAAUGGUGUGAAUUCGAUGAAAAUCACACCAACAAAAUACUUGAUGUGUAGAGCAAAUAAUAAUCAAGCAAUCAAAACAAAGUGUAUGGAAGUUAUAAACACAAGCCAAAAGUAGAAAACAACGAGAGAAAACAAAAAGAGAACACACGAAAUUUGUUUACCCUGUUUGGUCCAAAACUAACCUAGUUUGGGGGAGAGAGCAGUUCUCCGCUUCACUAUAAUGAUGAGUAACUUUACAAAAGAGAUAUCAAUGGGAUACAAGAAUAAGUGUCCCGCCUAAUUCUACCCAAAGUUCAAAUCUCUACCCGUGACCUAGAGACUCAAUCCUAAUAGUGUUUCUCAGGGUGAAUCAACCCCAACCCUAGUAUUUGUGGCCAAGAGCAAACUCUAUACAAACCGUAGUUUUCUUGUUGACUUCUAAACCUUUGUUUCAGCCCCUUGUAUCUCAAGGUUUACUCUGAUACAAGGUCUAUAUUUAUAGUAAAAGUAUCCUCAUAAAAUUGGAAAAAAUCUCAGCCCAAAAAUAUGAUUCUGUUAUAUUUUCUGCCGGCGAAUUCGGGCCUCGAUUUUACCCAUUCGGCCACCAAUUUUUCACGUACCAACAGGCUGAAAAAACACAGCCAAAUUCGGCCACCGAUGUUGGCAGCAUCAGAACUCCAAUUCCUUCAAUUUUGAGUCACUUUCACAACACUGAGAAUGUUAGGUUGCCUCAACCAUCUCUUACUUCUGAGAUAGUUUUAGAAGAUACACCAAGUAUGUAGGUAGAUAACACAAUCCAGUGAUGAUAACAUUGUCAGAUAAUGUGUUUCCUUCUGUAUUGUAUGUGAUGAAGGACUGAAAUUGUAGGAAUAAAAGUAAAAUAAAAAGAUGGUUUUGGGGAAAGGAAUGGUAAAAGAACGCGUCACACUCACUUUCAAUCCAAGAAGGAAUGCUAAGCUAUGAAGAAUCGCCACAAUGGUAAGGAAGUUAUUGAUAAGAUUCGAUAAACAUGGUUCAAUCCAAAACCAAAAAAGAGACAAAGCUCUCACAACACAUAAAGUGUAUUUUUUAUAUCAAAAUUCUACAUGUCUUUAUCUCAUUGAGAAACUUACAAUUUAUAGAGCUUUUCUCUAAUGAACUCUGUGGUCCCUAAUUAAUUUUUUUUUUUUUGGGUUACAGCUCCCUAAUUAAUUCAAAUAAAGCAUAUAUUUUAAAUCCUAAUUUAGAUGCCAUAUUACUAGCCUUACAAAUAUUUAUUUAAAUAACAAAAAAAAAAAAUGCUGAUUGAAAACACCACCAUUCAUGUGCCAUCAUUAAGUAAAUAAGCAAGUACUGUAUGUAGUGGAUUGCUAUUUUGUACAUGGAGCAAGAAUUGAUAAUUUGAUAUCAACUACCUACAUCGCAAGUUAACAACAACAAGCUGACAUUAAGCACGAUGCCCUUCUUGCAUAUAAUGUUCAAGUUAGCUUAUCGAAGUAAAAGAGUUAUUUCUUCCCAUAAUAGAAUUUGUUUUGCACCAAAUUUUGUAUUUCAUUUGAAUUUCAUCUCUUAUUCAAAUUGUGUUACAAAAAUCUUUCUCAAUAUUAGAAAAAUAUUUUAAAAAAAUAAACAGUGAGGAAAAAAAUCUAUUGUUCACCAUAAGAAAACGAUGACUAAUACCAAAUAUCAAGUAUUGAUGUGAAAAUGUGUAAAAAAUAAAAAUAGCAAUUUUCUUAACGCUUAGGUUUCCACAUACCAUACAGACAUUUAUAACACCUAACAAUGUUGAUUUGACAAAUCUGGAAAUCAAUUUCGGAAGAUGGUUUCUUGGAGCUCAAGCAUCCAUGGCCACCAUCCUACAUGGUCGUUUACUUGUUCGUGGCUUCUCAUGUACCACCUCCACCUAAUGGUAACCGGUCCAUCAAUGAUAUGCACCUUUGCACAAGCCCUCCAAUGCAUGUGACAUAGAACCACAAGAUUUACCAAAGCCUUCUGUCAAGGGUGAUGUUCUAUGCAUCAAUAUAUCACAAGAAUACGAAAAAGGAUAAGAGGAACGAGAGUUCAGUCUUUAUGGGCGUCUAAUUAUGAAUGAAAGUGAUAAGCCUAUAACAUCAUUUGAUUUGUGUUCAUAACUAAUUGUUCUUUGGAAACACAUCAGGAAGUUGAAGCUUAUUCCUUUGCCUCGAGAGUAUUACGGUUUCCAGUUUUCAACUUUUGAGGAUAUGACGAAGAUUUGUUACAUUGGCACUUGGAAUUUGAAGUCGAGUGUUUUUCGUCUAUCGAAAUGGUCACAAGGGAUCAGCACUUUCAAUGAACGACAAUCCCAUGCAUAUGUUUGAAUCCCUAUUCUUGACCUCCCUCAAGAGAAUUGGAGGGUAUAAUGCUAUUGGAAAUAGAUUCAAGCGUGGAAACACCAUAGAAAGGAUUCUUAUUGUUUAUAUCUGUAUGAUUGGUCACCCAUUGGGUCGGUGCAAGAAACUACCGAAGAAUGGUUGUUUAUAUCUGUAUUUUUUUCCCAUUUCGUUAUAUGUAUUAAGGAUUAAUUGCACAUGAAUAGAAGACAAACAGACAAUAAGCUGUGUCGCUAGACUUUUUGGAUUGCAAAAUCAAUUCUCGUAAGAACUUAUUGUGUUUAUAAAAAAUAUAUAUAUAACUCAUAACUAUUCACUACACAAGAAAUGUGUGCUAUAUAAUUUGUUGACCAUUCCACAAGGAAUUAACCUAAAAUUACACUUGAGAAACCUUGCAAAACUACAAUUCAUGCUUCCAACAUUUGCAUAAUUGUAUAAGCAAAACCCACAUAUCAAAUCAAUGUAAUUAAUUUUUAUUGUUUUGAAAACUCUCCUUCCUUUCCAUUAUCGAUAACAGCUUCUCAUUUAAAAUAUCGGAUUCUAAUCUUUGGAUUCUAUCCACCUGCAGAAAACCCAAAUGGAGCUUUUAGUUAAAUAUUUCCUGAAUUGACACAUUGUGAAAAUAAACAAAGUCUUGUAAAAUUAACACACCUGAAAAUGUAAAUUGUAGAAGAUCCUCUCUCCAAAGGUUUGCGACGAAGAAACAUUUAGCAACAAAAUUCCAUCAUUUUCUAAACAUAGCAAAAUCUCAGAAAGUGGAAUCUUGUGGACAGUGUAACAUGAAAUCUGAAUAGCAACUUCACUAUCAUUUAGCCAACUUGUUGAAACUACAAAACCAGAGUUGUAACUAUGUUUCUUCUUUUGAGAUUCUUUCGUUAUAUUAACUUCAUUUACUUGUGGAGAAAGUCUCAAUAAGAUCUCUUCUUUUCUCUUAACUAGUCCUUCCACAUGUUUCUGUAUUUCUGGUAUGUAUUUUAGGACUCUUGAAAUUGUUGCUGGAAUGCUCAACUUUUUCUGCAACAUAUAUGAAUAAAUUAAUACUAAUACAAUAGUUCUAAAAAAAGUUAUGCAACCAAAAUUUAAAGUAAUAUCGAAAAACGGCAUCCCAAUUAGGAAAUUUCAACCAUACUCAAAAAUCAAAACAAAACCGCGUUUUGAAGAUUAAAAGAAAUAUAACGAAAUGAACAAAAGCAUAGUAGACAAUUGGAAACAUAAAGAAGGGAAUAAUGAAGUACCAUUUGGUCAGAAAUAGGAAGAAGUGAACGAAGUGAAGAAUACAAAUUAUUGAUCUUCUUGCGGCGAUCGCGUUCGCUAGCAUUAUGAACAAGCUUCUUGACCAUGCUAAGGUCACUGCUUGUGGAUUGUGAGGGAUCUGUUGAAUUAAUUUCUGCCUCAACUUGAUCAUGAAAAUUAAAUAAUUGAUUCUGAUGCUGGUUAUGACUUAAAGACUCUUCAAAGGGCCAUCCAAUUGUUGAAAACAUAGGAGGAGAUAUCGCUAACAUAAUGAUGAU